AUUGAACGCUGGCGGAAUGCUUUACACAUGCAAGUCGAACGGCAGCACGGGGGCAGCCCUGGUGGCGAGUGGCGAACGGGUGAGUAAUACAUCGGAACGUGCCCGGUCGUGGGGGAUAACGUAGCGAAAGUUACGCUAAUACCGCAUACGAUCUGAGGAUGAAAGCGGGGGACCUUCGGGCCUCGCGCGAUCGGAGCGGCCGAUGUCAGAUUAGGUAGUUGGUGGGGUAAAGGCCUACCAAGCCGACGAUCUGUAGCUGGUCUGAGAGGACGACCAGCCACACUGGGACUGAGACACGGCCCAGACUCCUACGGGAGGCAGCAGUGGGGAAUUUUAGACAAUGGGCGCAAGCCUGAUCCAGCCAUUCCGCGUGCAGGACGAAGGCCUUCGGGUUGUAAACUGCUUUUGUACGGAACGAAAAGGCUCUGGCUAAUACCUGGGGCUCAUGACGGUACCGUAAGAAUAAGCACCGGCUAACUACGUG
This 484-nucleotide ribosomal RNA is filed under the name uncultured bacterium. RNAcentral's name for it is "partial 16S ribosomal RNA". It matches the Rfam family "Bacterial small subunit ribosomal RNA", at positions 30 to 507 of the family's 1533-position model. The record is from RNAcentral.